GACACCCUUGAACGGCCCACACGCUCCAGCGCCUUAGGAAGCCACGAAGAAUAACACCUGUUGCCAACCCACGGCAGGACCUACCGGUCUCGAGUCAAUAUUCUACCACCGGAAUGCCAUUUAAAUUGCAAUUUAACAUUUGACAACACUUCUAAUCGGGACAUGUAUGAUCGUUUACGACACAAACAAAUAGUGCCUUUGUGAC
Molecule: long non-coding RNA, 205 nt
Filed under: Gossypium barbadense (sea-island cotton)
Lineage: Eukaryota; Viridiplantae; Streptophyta; Magnoliopsida; Malvales; Malvaceae
Description: long non-coding RNA (GBAR_LNC009004)
Source: RNAcentral